This 612-nucleotide ribosomal RNA is filed under the name [Candida] sp. Levica13. RNAcentral describes it as "eukaryotic LSU rRNA". It matches the Rfam family "Eukaryotic large subunit ribosomal RNA", at positions 1 to 668 of the family's 3401-position model. The record is from RNAcentral. Lineage: Eukaryota; Fungi; Ascomycota; Saccharomycetes; Saccharomycetales.
AUAAACUUGCGGUNGCCCCUUAUGUAGACGUGUGAGUGAUUUGCGGCACAGAGCUCAAAUUUGAAAUCUGGCGCCUUCGGUGUCCGAUGUUGUAUAUUUGAAGAUUGUAAGCCUUGGGGUAUGGCUCUUGUCUAUGUUUCUUGGAACAGGACUGUCACAGAGGGUGAGAAUCCCGUGCGAUGAGAUGCCCAAUUCUAUGUAAGGUGCUUUCGAAGAGUCGAGUUGUUUGGGAAUGCAGCUCUAAGUGGGUGGUAAAUUCCAUCUAAAGCUAAAUAUUGGCGAUGAGACCGAUAGCGAACAAGUACAGUGAUGGAAAGAUGAAAAGAACUUUGAAAAGAGAGUGAAAAAGUACGUGAAAUUGUUGAAAUGGGAAGGGUUUGAGAUCAGACUCGAUAUUUUGUGAGCCUUGCCUUCGUGNGCGGGGUGACCCGACAGCUUAUCGGGCCAGCAUCGGUUAAUGGGCGGUAGGAUAAUGGCGUAGUGAAUGUGACUUUACUUCGGUGAAGUGUUAUAGCCUGCGAUUGAUGCUGCCUGACCUAGACCGAGGACUGCGAUUUCUAUCAAGGAUGCUGGCAUAAUGAUCCCAAACCGACCGUCUUGAAACACNAGNAA